GUUCAUAUUUUUUUGGCUCCUGAAUUUUCAUUAUUUGAAUCGAUGGACUGACCUGGUUUACACCUUAAGUUGAUUAUGGUUGCAUUUUUCUGGGUUUUCUCCUUCUGCGUGUAUUGUAAUUUUUUUACGUAUUGUUUUGAGCUUGGUUGUUGAGUUCAAAAAUUUCAUGUUUGAAUUGGCUUUUUCCUUAUUUGGGUUGAGGUUGUGUAUCAUUAGGGUUUUGGACCUCAAAUUUGUUCAUUUUACUUCAUCCCAUGACUUGUGAGGUUAUUUACUUCUUCCCAUGUCUUGUCAGGUUCUGUUUGAAAUGGAAUGGUAUAUAGUGUAGGGAAUGGGUUUCUCCUAUAAAAUUAAUAGCAUUCUUUUGUUAGUACGUCUACACUUUGAAGUGUUUAUUUAAUGUAACCGAUGGGUUUAUUUGUGUUUGGACAAUGACGAUGCUAGUUAGGAUGACCCAUUCCAG
This 463-nucleotide unclassified non-coding RNA is filed under the name Hevea brasiliensis (rubber tree). Lineage: Eukaryota; Viridiplantae; Streptophyta; Magnoliopsida; Malpighiales; Euphorbiaceae. The record is from RNAcentral.